UACGGAGGGUGCGAGCGUUAAUCGGAAUUACUGGGCGUAAAGCGUGUGCAGGCGGUUUGUUAAGCGAGAUGUGAAAGCCCCGGGCUCAACCUGGGAACCGCAUUUCGAACUGGCAAACUAGAGUCUUGUAGAGGGGGGUAGAAUUCCAGGUGUAGCGGUGAAAUGCGUAGAGAUCUGGAGGAAUACCGGUGGCGAAGGCGGCCCCCUGGACAAAGACUGACGCUCAGGCACGAAAGCGUGGGGAGCAAACAGG
This 253-nucleotide ribosomal RNA is filed under the name uncultured microorganism. RNAcentral's name for it is "partial 16S ribosomal RNA". It matches the Rfam family "Bacterial small subunit ribosomal RNA", at positions 524 to 776 of the family's 1533-position model. The record is from RNAcentral.